UUUACUCAACCCGUUUGCUUGGACAGGCCUGAUGUCUUCAGGUAGGUACUGGAUGUGAAGCAGUGCACUCACUCUCCCUUGCCCUCUCUUUUUGUCUUUCAUUUUCUUUAGUUUUUUUUCCAGCAGAGUUGGACCAAAAAAGCCUGGAAGGAAUUGAUAUUUUCCAUUGGAUGUAGAACUUGGACCUCUGUUUUAUAGUUGUUGUUCCCUCUCAUUAUUUGAUUAAUCCUGAAGUCUAAGAGAACCAAAAUGAAACGGAGAAAAAUAUAUUAGUGCUGAGCUCAGCAGAUUUAUUUUUUUCCUAAUGAAUAGAUACGUUUAGAUUAAGCCAAAGAGACCAUUUUUAUUGCUGUUCGAAACAUCUUUGAUUGAGUGAAGCUAAAUGGUUAUGCUUCUCUGUAUUAAUUGGUGCAGUAUUUCCAUAUUCCACCACACGAAUUGAAAUCAGAUGAUCUCAUCGUGCAACUAGUUGCUGUUCUAGAGCCAAUGUUUUAAACUGCAACAAUAAAACACACCUUACCAGUUGGAUGUCAGGGAGAAAAACUUUUUCUUCACUUUGAGGAAGUUCUUUUUAAAGAGAACAUAAAAUCCAUUUCUUUUCUUUCAGCUCGGUGAGACUUGGAAAUGCUUAUAGACGAUAUGCUAGCCAAAGGCAGUAAAAGGUACGUUUUCACAUUUAGCCUCAACAUCAAGGAGUCUUAGGUUUGAGAGGAGACGUCGCCACGUAUGACCUCACGAAGCUCUGAAUCAAAGGUUAAAUUAGUAGCCAAGUAGGAGCCGCUAAACAUCUGACUUGACAUCUGAUAUGCUGCAGUUGACCUCAACACAGCUCAUCUAACCUUUGGCCCAAAUAAAAGGUGUGAUAACCUAGAUGGGUCCAGUUCUGACCGAGGUUCAUGUGAAGGGACCCCAUGGCUUCCAGAUGUCACAUGACGGCAAGAAAAGAGAAAGUCCCGUGAUACAUCUGUGGGAAAUGUACUUCACAAGAGUUCAACCAUGAGAUUCCCAAACUGCCUCUUCCCACGUUGACACAAAUACUUGGGCCCAUGUGACAUCCUGUGUGGACGAGGUGAACAAUAACGGACUCCUACGUCAAGACCUGGGAACUGCUCCGUGAGAGAUGUACCAUCACACCUCAAACACAUCAAGCCAGUUCCGCAGUCGGCUCUUCAGUGUUUACUGUCUCGUCACUAAGGUUCAUUUCCCGCAAUACUGGAAAAAAAUGUCGCUGAUAAUUUUUUUUUCUCUGUGAAUACUUC
Molecule: long non-coding RNA, 1259 nt
Organism: Carassius carassius (crucian carp)
Lineage: Eukaryota; Metazoa; Chordata; Actinopteri; Cypriniformes; Cyprinidae
Exons: 5
Source: RefSeq, a predicted model, not a curated record